Molecule: long non-coding RNA, 1296 nt
Organism: Vicia villosa (hairy vetch)
Lineage: Eukaryota; Viridiplantae; Streptophyta; Magnoliopsida; Fabales; Fabaceae
Exons: 4
Source: RefSeq, a predicted model, not a curated record
CCUAAAUCCUACAUCCAUCUCCACCUCCAUCUUCCAAACCCUCGCUGCCGCAACAACAUCUUUCAAACGCUUCUUCUUUCAACACUGACAUAGUAUGAGUAUACUUAAUUUUAUUUAUCGCUUUUAUAUAGUUUUUGGAUGAUUUAAUGUGUUUCACUCUGAUUAUUUUUCUGGGUUUGAAUCGAUGAGGACUGGAUAAUCGUUUUUUACCACUUGGCUUUCGAAAAAAAGGGAAUGACAACGUUUUGCUACACCUUGUUUUUUGUAAAUCGGUGAAAUGGUCAUACCUUUUCUGCAAAUCUGACUUUUGGUUGAAAUAGUGAUGGGAUUAGAGGAAGAGUUUGGGCUUAAUAUUGAGGAUGAUUUGAUAAAGAAGCUUUUUUGAUGCAUAGGUUAAACCCACUUGAGUUAGUAACUCGGUUCUGGUUUAGUGUUUUGGUUCAGCUUGCAUUUGCAUUUGAUUUCGAAUUAGGUUUUGGCAUUACCAUUGCAUCACAUAUCCCUUUUCGUUUGGAUCAAGUCUCUGAAUCAGGUAUGCAGAAAGUGUAAGCGAAAUUGCAACAGAAGACUAGAAAUGGAUGUGUGCCAUGAUUUAGCCAAUGUAUACACGGAUUUGUCGCAAUGGCGUGAUGCUGAAGCUUGUCUUUCCAAAUCUGAAGUUAUUGAUCCCUAUUCUGCUUCUAGAUGGCACUCUACAGGUAUUUAUUGAAGCUUAACGUGUUGCGAUUUAUGGUUUUUUAGAUAUUCUUCAUAUAGCAGAGGUUACCAUAAGUUAGGUUUAUUCAAGUAUGCUUUAUGAAGCAAGAGGUCUACAUCAAGAAGCAAUAAAAUCAUUUAAAAAAAGAUUGGAUAUUGAUCCCAACCAUGUUCCAAGUUUGAUAUCAACAGCUUGUGUUCCGAGAAAACUUGGGUAUAAAUCAUGAUCUUCAAUUCUUAGAAGCCUUCUCAUUGAGGCAUUGAGGCUUGACAGAACAGACUCAUCUUCAUGGUACAAUCUUGAACUUGUGUACAAAGAUGAUUUGGGAACAUCAGCAUUGGAAGCUGCUGAAUACUUCGAGGCAGUGGUUUUUCUUGAAGAAUAUUGUCCCAUUGAACCCUUUAGAUAACACUUUCACUUCUUUUCUAUAUCUAGUGUGCUUGUAAAGUUGGAAGAACUAAGGUAAUUUCUUCAUAUUCUUACAAAAUUUACCUUAUUUUAAUAGUUUGUUUCAUUGAACGAAGAAAAUUGGCAUCACUGUUUAUACAAACAGACAAAAUCAUGAGGAUGAUGUUAAGGAUAAUGAUAAGGGAAAACUA